Molecule: ribosomal RNA, 632 nt
Filed under: Rhynchogastrema aquatica
Lineage: Eukaryota; Fungi; Basidiomycota; Tremellomycetes; Tremellales; Rhynchogastremaceae
Description: eukaryotic LSU rRNA
Rfam family: Eukaryotic large subunit ribosomal RNA
Source: RNAcentral
AAGCGGAGGAAAAGAAACUAACAAGGAUUCCCCUAGUAACGGCGAGUGAACCGGGAUGAGCUCAAAUUUGAAAUCUGGCGUCCUCAGGGCGUCCGAGUUGUAAUCUAUAGAGGCGUUUUCCGUGCCGGACCGUGUCCAAGUCCCUUGGAACAGGGUAUCAAAGAGGGUGACAAUCCCGUACUUGACACGACGACCGGUGCUCUGUGAUACGUCUUCUACGAGUCGAGUUGUUUGGGAAUGCAGCUCAAAAUGGGUGGUGAGUUCCAUCUAAAGCUAAAUAUUGGCGAGAGACCGAUAGCGAACAAGUACCGUGAGGGAAAGAUGAAAAGCACUUUGGAAAGAGAGUUAAACAGUACGUGAAAUUGUUGAAAGGGAAACGAUUGAAGUCAGUCGUGACUGUUGGGCUCAGCAGGUUCUGCCUGUGUAUUCCCCUCAGUCGGGUCAACAUCAGUUUUGACCGGUGGAUAAGGGCAGCAGGAAUGUGGCACCUCCGGGUGUGUUAUAGCCUGUCGUCGCAUACAUCGGUCGAGACUGAGGAACGCAGCUCGCCCUUGAGGCCGGGGUUCGCCCACGUCCGAGCUUAGGAUGUUGACAUAAUGGCUUUAAACGACCCGUCUUGAAACACGGGACCA